CAUGCUUUACACAUGCAAGUCGAACGGUAACAGGUCUUCGGAUGCUGACGAGUGGCGAACGGGUGAGUAAUGCAUCGGAACGUGCCCAGUCGUGGGGAUAACGCAGCGAAAGCUGUGCUAAUACCGCAUACGAUCUAUGGAUGAAAGCGGGGAUCGCAAGACCUCGCGCGAUUGGAGCCGGCCGAUGUCAGAUUAGCUAGUUGGUGGGUAAAGGCUCACCAAGCCAACGAUCUGUAGCUGGUCUGAGAGGACGACCAGCCACACUGGAACUGAGACACGGUCCAGACUCCUACGGGAGGCAGCAGUGGGGAAUUUUGGACAAUGGACGCAAGUCUGAUCCAGCCAUUCCGCGUGCAGGAUGAAGGCCCUCGGGUUGUAAACUGCUUUUGUACGGAACGAAAAGGUCUCUAUUAAUACUAGGGGCUCAUGACGGUACCGUAAGAAUAAGCACCGGCUAACUACGUG
This 465-nucleotide ribosomal RNA is filed under the name uncultured bacterium. RNAcentral's name for it is "bacterial SSU rRNA". It matches the Rfam family "Bacterial small subunit ribosomal RNA", at positions 43 to 507 of the family's 1533-position model. The record is from RNAcentral.